UACGGAGGGGGCUAGCGUUGUUCGGAAUUACUGGGCGUAAAGCGCACGUAGGCGGCUUUGUAAGUUAGAGGUGAAAGCCCGGGGCUCAACUCCGGAAUUGCCUUUAAGACUGCAUCGCUAGAAUUGUGGAGAGGUAAGUGGAAUUCCGAGUGUAGAGGUGAAAUUCGUAGAUAUUCGGAAGAACACCAGUGGCGAAGGCGGCUCUCUGGGCCGAUACUGACGCUGAGGAGCGAAAGCGUGGGGAGCGAACAGG
This 253-nucleotide ribosomal RNA is filed under the name uncultured bacterium. RNAcentral's name for it is "partial 16S ribosomal RNA". It matches the Rfam family "Bacterial small subunit ribosomal RNA", at positions 524 to 776 of the family's 1533-position model. The record is from RNAcentral.